This 465-nucleotide ribosomal RNA is filed under the name uncultured bacterium. RNAcentral describes it as "partial 16S ribosomal RNA". It matches the Rfam family "Bacterial small subunit ribosomal RNA", at positions 28 to 507 of the family's 1533-position model. The record is from RNAcentral.
GACGAACGCUGGCGGCGUGCUUAACACAUGCAAGUCGUACGGUAAGGCCCUUUCGGGGGUACACGAGUGGCGAACGGGUGAGUAACACGUGAGUAACCUGCCCACAACUUUGGGAUAACGCUAGGAAACUGGUGCUAAUACUGGAUAUGUGCUCCUGCUGCACGGUGGGGGUUGGAAAGCUCCGGCGGUUGUGGAUGGACUCGCGGCCUAUCAGCUUGUUGGUGGGGUAGUGGCCUACCAAGGCGGCGACGGGUAGCCGGCCUGCGGGGGUGACCGGCCACACUGGGACUGAGAUGCGGCCCAGACUCCUACGGGAGGCAGCAGUGGGGAAUAUUGCACGAUGGGCGCCAGCCUGAUGCAGCAACGCCGCGUGCGGGAUGACGGCCUUCGGGUUGUAAACCGAUUUCAGCAGGGACGAAGCUUUUUGUGACGGUACCUGCAGAAGAAGCACCGGCUAACUACGUG